AAUUAAAAUUUCUAUCCAUUUCUAUUGUUAAAAAUUGGUGUGGCUAACGGAAUAACCAGACAGUUGCAUAUGGCGUGCCACAUGUAUCUCAUGUUAAUGUACACGAACCAAUUUUUAAUAGUAGAAAUAGAUGAAAUUUUUAACA
This is a non-coding RNA of Gossypium hirsutum (cotton), 145 nucleotides long. The record is from Rfam. Lineage: Eukaryota; Viridiplantae; Streptophyta; Magnoliopsida; Malvales; Malvaceae.